This 1045-nucleotide ribosomal RNA is filed under the name uncultured bacterium. Its description in RNAcentral is "bacterial SSU rRNA". It matches the Rfam family "Bacterial small subunit ribosomal RNA", at positions 338 to 1398 of the family's 1533-position model. The record is from RNAcentral.
CCUACGGGGGGCAGCAGUGAGGAAUAUUGCACAAUGGGGGAAACCCUGAUGCAGCAACGCCGCGUGGCGGAUGACGCAUUUCGGUGUGUAAACUCCUUUUAUGAGUCAAGAAAAUGACGGUAGCUCAUGAAUAAGCACCGGCUAACUCCGUGCCAGCAGCCGCGGUAAUACGGAGGGUGCAAGCGUUAUUCGGAAUCACUGGGCGUAAAGGACGCGUAGGCGGGAUGCCAAGUCUGAUGUGAAAUCCUAUGGCUUAACCAUAGAACUGCAUUGGAAACUGGUAACCUAGAGUAUGGGAGGGGGAGAUGGAAUUAGUGGUGUAGGGGUAAAAUCCGUAGAUAUCACUAGGAAUACCGAAAGCGAAGGCGAUCUCCUGGAACAAUACUGACGCUAAGGCGUGAAAGCGUGGGGAGCAAACGGGAUUAGAUACCCCGGUAGUCCACGCCCUAAACGAUGAACACUAGUCGUCGGAAGGCUAGUCAUUUCGGUGAUGCACUUAACAGAUUAAGUGUUCCGCCUGGGGAGUACGGUCGCAAGAUUAAAACUCMAAAGGAAUAGACGGGGACCCGCACAAGUGGUGGAGCAUGUGGUUUAAUUCGAAGAUACGCGAAGACCUUACCUAGCCUUGACAUUGAUUGAAUACCCUAGAGAUAGAGUAGUGCCCUUCGGGGAACAUGAAAACAGGUGCUGCACGGCUGUCGUCAGCUCGUGUCGUGAGAUGUUGGGUUAAGUCCCGCAACGAGCGCAACCCUCGUCCUUAGUUGCCAGCAGGUUAAGCUGGGCACUCUAAGGAGACUGCCUUCGCAAGGAGGAGGAAGGUGAGGACGACGUCAAGUCAUCAUGGCCCUUAUGGCUAGGGCUACACACGUGCUACAAUGGGGCGUACAGAGAGUUGCGAUACCGCGAGGUGGAGCCAAUCUCAUAAAGCGUCUCUCAGUUCGGAUUGAAGUCUGCAACUCGACUUCAUGAAGCUGGAAUCACUAGUAAUCGUAGAUCAGCAAUGCUACGGUGAAUACGUUCCCGGGUCUUGUACACACCGCCCGUC